GACGAACGCUGGCGGCGUGCCUAAUACAUGCAAGUCGAGCGAGCGGAACCAACAGAUUUACUUCGGUAAUGACGUUGGGAAAGCGAGCGGCGGAUGGGUGAGUAACACGUGGGGAACCUGCCCCUAAGUCUGGGAUACCAUUUGGAAACAGGUGCUAAUACCGGAUAAGAAAGCAGAUCGCAUGAUCAGCUUUUAAAAGGCGGCGUAAGCUGUCGCUAAGGGAUGGCCCCGCGGUGCAUUAGCUAGUUGGUAAGGUAACGGCUUACCAAGGCAACGAUGCAUAGCCGAGUUGAGAGACUGAUCGGCCACAUUGGGACUGAGACACGGCCCAAACUCCUACGGGAGGCAGCAGUAGGGAAUCUUCCACAAAGGACGCAAGUCUGAUGGAGCAACGCCGCGUGAGUGAAGAAGGUUUUCGGAUCGUAAAGCUCUGUUGUUGGUGAAGAAGGAUAGAGGUAGUAACUGGCCUUUAUUUGACGGUAAUCAACCAGAAAGUCACGGCUAACUACGUG
This 512-nucleotide ribosomal RNA is filed under the name uncultured bacterium. RNAcentral describes it as "partial 16S ribosomal RNA". It matches the Rfam family "Bacterial small subunit ribosomal RNA", at positions 28 to 507 of the family's 1533-position model. The record is from RNAcentral.